AGAGUUUGAUCAUGGCUCAGAGUGAACGCUGGCGGCAGGCCUAAUACAUGCAAGUCGAACGGCAGCACGGCAGAGCUUGCUCUGUGGGUGGCGAGUGGCGGACGGGUGAGGAAUACAUGGGAAUCUGCCCAGUCGUGGGGAUAACGUAGGGAAACUUACGCUAAUACCGCAUGCGCCCUUCGGGGGAAAGCCGGGGACCUUCGGGCCUGGCGCGAUUGGAUGAGCCCAUGUCGGAUUAGCUAGUUGGCGGGGUAAUGGCCCACCAAGGCGACGAUCCGUAGCUGGUCUGAGAGGGUGAUCAGCCACACUGGAACUGAGACACGGUCCAGACUCCUACGGGAGGCAGCAGUAGGGAAUAUUGGACAAUGGGCGCAAGCCUGAUCCAGCCAUGCCGCGUGAGUGAAGAAGGCCCUCGGGUUGUAAAGCUCUUUUGUCCGGAAAGAAAAGCGCCGGGUUAAUACCCUGGUGUCCUGACGGUACCGGCAGAAUAAGCACCGGCUAACUUCGUG
RNAcentral lists this ribosomal RNA (509 nucleotides) under uncultured bacterium. RNAcentral describes it as "bacterial SSU rRNA". It matches the Rfam family "Bacterial small subunit ribosomal RNA", at positions 8 to 507 of the family's 1533-position model. The record is from RNAcentral.